GACGAACGCUGGCGGCGCGCUUAACACAUGCAAGUCGAACGGAAAGGCCUGCUUUCCCUUGUGGAUUGCGGGUACUCGAGUGGCGAACGGGUGAGUAACACGUGAGUGAUCUGCCCCCAACUUGGGUAUAAGCCUGGGAAACUGGGUCUAAUUCCCGAUAGGACUGCAGGGUGGUGCCUGUGGUGGAAAACGAUUUUCUAGUGGUUGGGGAUGAGCUCGCGGCCUAUCAGCUUGUUGGUGGGGUAAUGGCCUACCAAGGCGGCGACGGGUAGCCGGCCUGAGAGGGUGGACGGCCACAUUGGGACUGAGAUACGGCCCAGACGCCUACGGGAGGCAGCAGUGGGGAAUAGUGCACAAUGGGCGGAAGCCUGAUGCAGCGACGCCGCGUGGGGGAUGACGGCCUUCGGGUUGUAAACUCCUUUCGACCGCGAGGAAGCCACCUGGUUGGAAGGGUGGUGACGGUAGUGGUAGAAGAAGCACCGGCUAACUACGUG
This 494-nucleotide ribosomal RNA is filed under the name uncultured bacterium. Its description in RNAcentral is "partial 16S ribosomal RNA". It matches the Rfam family "Bacterial small subunit ribosomal RNA", at positions 28 to 507 of the family's 1533-position model. The record is from RNAcentral.